This 300-nucleotide ribosomal RNA is filed under the name Triticum aestivum (bread wheat). RNAcentral's name for it is "partial small subunit ribosomal RNA". Lineage: Eukaryota; Viridiplantae; Streptophyta; Magnoliopsida; Poales; Poaceae. The record is from RNAcentral.
AUGACUUUUAUUUCUCAUUUACUUUCAGCCACUGAAGAAACCAAGAUAAAGAAAGACAAACAAGGAAAAGGCUACCUGCUGGUUGUGGGUGCUGAGCCGAUGGACAGUGUGAAGAAGAAGGUGCAGUCUUGGCAGCGGCGCAUGAAGCAUUUUUUUCUUUGCAUGUUGAUCACUACUGCACUGUUCAGGUCCUUAAUCAAGGGGGUAGCAAAUUCUGUGCGUUUUCUUCUCUGUAUAAAUUUCGACUUGUUUGAUGUUUGUUACUCUUUUUUUUUCCUAAUUAAUCAUCUAAGUUCCUAA